This 468-nucleotide ribosomal RNA is filed under the name uncultured bacterium. RNAcentral's name for it is "partial 16S ribosomal RNA". It matches the Rfam family "Bacterial small subunit ribosomal RNA", at positions 28 to 507 of the family's 1533-position model. The record is from RNAcentral.
GACGAACGCUGGCGGCGUGCUUAACACAUGCAAGUCGAACGGAAAGGCCCUGCUUUUGUGGGGUGCUCGAGUGGCGAACGGGUGAGUAACACGUGAGUAACCUGCCCUUGACUUUGGGAUAACUUCAGGAAACUGGGGCUAAUACCGGAUAGGAGCUCCUGCUGCAUGGUGGGGGUUGGAAAGUUUCGGCGGUUGGGGAUGGACUCGCGGCUUAUCAGCUUGUUGGUGGGGUAGUGGCUUACCAAGGCUUUGACGGGUAGCCGGCCUGGGAGGGUGACCGGCCACAUUGGGACUGAGAUACGGCCCAGACUCCUACGGGAGGCAGCAGUGGGGAAUAUUGCACAAUGGGCGGAAGCCUGAUGCAGCAACGGCGCGUGCGGGAUGACGGCCUUCGGGUUGUAAACCGCUUUCGCCUGUGACGAAGCGUGAGUGACGGUAAUGGGUAAAGAAGCACCGGCUAACUACGUG